UGGGGGAUAUUGCACAAUGGGCGAAAGCCUGAUGCAGCGACGCCGCGUGGGGGAUGAAGGCCUUCGGGUUGUAAACUUCUUUUGCUCUGAACAAGGCGCACCAUGGGGUGUGUUGAGUGUAGGGGUUGGUUAGCGCCGGCUAACUACGUGCCAGCAGCCGCGGUAAUACGUAGGGCGCGAGCGUUGUCCGGAAUUAUUGGGCGUAAAGGGCUUGUAGGUGGCUGGUUGCGUCUGUCGUGAAAGCUCAUGGCUUAACUGUGGGUUUGCGGUGGGUACGGGCUGGCUUGAGUGCAGUAGGGGAGGCUGGAAUUCCUGGUGUAGCGGUGGAAUGCGCAGAUAUCAGGAGGAAUACCGGUGGCGAAGGCGGGUCUCUGGGCUGUUACUGACACUGAGGAGCGAAAGCAUGGGGAGCGAACAGG
RNAcentral lists this ribosomal RNA (419 nucleotides) under bacterium. RNAcentral's name for it is "partial 16S ribosomal RNA". It matches the Rfam family "Bacterial small subunit ribosomal RNA", at positions 355 to 776 of the family's 1533-position model. The record is from RNAcentral.